GGCUUGAAUGGCGUCGGGGUUGGAGGGUUGGAAGGUCGGGAAGUGAAGGACUCGCAGGCAUAUUUAACAACGCAAAGUUGCUAGGAGUUGGUACCAGCGUUUGGGAGGUAGAGGUGGCGCUCAUGCAUAUUUGAGACAACAUCUGGAUGGUUGGGGAGAACGGUGAUGCCACACUCAAUCAGAAACUAUGCUACUGCUGAAGAGGUAUAUUGAGCCCUGCCUGGUUAACCUCCAGUGAGGUUAUUAGAGAAUUGGGAGAGGCUCAAAUCAGCAUCCUGCACCUAGUUAUCAAACCAUUGUGAAGUCUUGAUUCCUGGAUGGCCAGAAAACUUGUCAUUGGUCAAGAGCAACAUUAAGAUCUGCCUGUUACUCAUACUGAUGCUUCCUGCCCAGCAAGUUCAUCAGAGGGCGAGGAUGAAUUACGGUUGCCAUGAAUGUCCUUGUGAGGCAGUUGGGAAGCCUUGGCUGGAUUGUGAAGGAUAUUUGAAAAGUAUUUUAGAGUCCACCAGAUCAUCCAUGUGAGUGACCAUGCAGCAAAAGAAGGAGGGUCCUCUCAGUGAUUAAGGAUUAUGAAGUAUUAAUUCUUCCACUGAUAUCUCAAAAGGUGAUCUGGACAAAGGAACAGGUAUCUCAGACCUCCUGGCGUGGCUACUAACAAGUGGCAUCCAUGUUCUAAGACCUGAAUUUGCUGACCAAUAUCAGCAUCACCAUAAACUACACAAGGAUGAACUCUAGGCUGAUUCCCAGCAAUAUGAAGACACCCUAGCUGGAUGAUCAGUUCCUGUUAAGAAUAUGACCCCUCAAACCUUGAUGGACUGGACCCUGCUUAGUCAUCUAUAGUACCCCAACUGCUGUCUGCCUGCAGGACCCUCUGUAUUGGGUUCACCAUUCCAGAAUAAAGCUGUGUCUGCCAGCCA
This 917-nucleotide long non-coding RNA is filed under the name Homo sapiens (human). Its description in RNAcentral is "FTX transcript, XIST regulator". Lineage: Eukaryota; Metazoa; Chordata; Mammalia; Primates; Hominidae. The record is from RNAcentral.